AACGAACGCUGGCGGCAUGCCUAACACAUGCAAGUCGAACGAGACCUUCGGGUCUAGUGGCGCACGGGUGCGUAACGCGUGGGAACCUGCCCUUAGGUUCGGAAUAACUCCCCGAAAGGGGUGCUAAUACCGGAUAAUGUCUUCGGACCAAAGAUUUAUCGCCUUUGGAUGGGCCCGCGUUGGAUUAGCUAGUUGGUAGGGUAAAAGCCUACCAAGGCGACGAUCCAUAGCUGGUCUGAGAGGAGGAUCAGCCACACUGGGACUGAGACACGGCCCAGACUCCUCCGGGAGGAAGCAGUGGGGAAAUUUGGACAAUGGGCGAAAGCCUGUUCCAGCAAUGCCGCGUGAGUGAUGAAGGCCUUAGGGUUGUAAAGCUCUUUACCCGGGAUGAUAAUGACAGUACCGGGAGAAUAAGCUCCGGCUAACUCCGUG
Molecule: ribosomal RNA, 432 nt
Filed under: uncultured bacterium
Lineage: Bacteria
Description: partial 16S ribosomal RNA
Rfam family: Bacterial small subunit ribosomal RNA
Source: RNAcentral